This is a long non-coding RNA of Chenopodium quinoa (quinoa), 226 nucleotides long. RefSeq lists it as uncharacterized. NCBI's taxonomy places the organism in Eukaryota, Viridiplantae, Streptophyta, Magnoliopsida, Caryophyllales, Amaranthaceae. The record is from RefSeq and is a predicted model, not a curated record. The transcript has 2 exons.
UCGAUUGUUGCUGUUAAUCUAGCUUAUACUCUUGUUGGUAUGGGUGCUAGAGUUGGUAUUUUCGAUGCUGAUGUCUAUGGUCCCAGUUUGCCAACAAUGGUUUCACCAGAGAGCAGGCUACUAGAAAUGAUUGCAGAGACGAAAACCAUCAUCCCAACUGAAUACUUGGGUGUCAAACUGGUAUCAUUUGGAUUUGCUGGGCAAGGUCGUGCAAUUAUGCGGGGCC